CAGUAGGUGGCUUAGUGGUUAGAGCUCUUGCUUUCCGGUACAAGGACGUGAGUUUGAAUCCACCCUCCUAC
This 71-nucleotide transfer RNA is filed under the name Scleropages formosus (Asian bonytongue). RNAcentral's name for it is "tRNA-Arg". The record is from RNAcentral. Lineage: Eukaryota; Metazoa; Chordata; Actinopteri; Osteoglossiformes; Osteoglossidae.